UUUCUGUUGUAAAGACUCACUUGUUUUGAAAAUCAGCUUCUCGUUCCUCUGGGUAGCAAAGAGACUAAAACUCUAGCUGGAAUAACAAAACCCAAUGUGCUUUCCUCUGUCUCAAUUGCUUCCCCAUUCCUCAGCAUGCUCUCUAUUACUCAGCUCUCUCCUCCCUUACAAACCAUCACAGAGGUUUCACAUCUCUCUCUCUUUCCCCCGUGCUUCAUAACCAGUUUCCUUCAACAGUAAUUGAAAAAGUCUCCUGUCCAUUUUUCUUCUGCUGUUGAGUGACUCCUUCAGUCCCCCUUUGUCAGAUCAUUCUUGGGGAGUGAAAGACAGCUGGUCAGCUAAUUCCCUGGGACCUUCAGCUUGGAAAGCUGCACUGGCAGGGGAGUAGCUGGCCUUUUGAGCCAUCUGAAUAACUCAAAACUGGACUGUGUGCCCUCCUGAGCCUCAUGCUGGGGAUAUGCAUUUCUCCUGAUGUUUCUCUCUCUCCUCACUAAAGUGAGGUUUAUGCCAACAGACGCAAAAGAUUUCAAGCAAAAAGGCAUCAGAGAGGAACAUUAGUGUCUCCUAAUAAGGUUUCUGCAUGGAGAACAGGUAUCCAAGAUUUAGCUUUCAUUAAAGUCCUGAAAGAGAAGUCCAAACCAUGGAAGAUCAGAGAACAUUUUGCCCAAAACUCCUCACAAUCCGUAGAAAUCCUGCUUGCUGGGCUGGAGGAUGUGACUCAGGUCACUGCCUGUAAACCCUGCCUAGCACCCAACCUUAUAGGACACCAAAGGAAAACCUGCUGAUUUCACACAGUGCUCGUGGUGGGGUUAUGACCAGCAUUGAAAGUGGGUAUGGAAAUGGUGUCAGUGAUGAGCCUCUCCUCUCCACCAGCCCACAGCCAGGUCUAAGCAGCACAUUGAGCCCUCUGGAGAGAGAAAAAAAUGUUAUAUGAAAGAAGGAGAUGGUUUAGAGAAAAGAAAUUCAUGUUCAUUGUCUUAAACGAUUGACUCUCUAGGAACUUCACUUAGCAAGUGUUGUUUCUUUGUAUAGCCUUCUUUGGAAUUUUGACCUUUUUUGGUGACCAAAUUGCUCUCUUUUGUUUUCUCAAAACUGUUUUCUAGUGGUUUGUACCCUCUACAAGUCUGUUACCACUGAUGAACGCUUCGCUUUUGCCUUUAGGGUGUGAAAACCCUCUUGCAGAACCAUUGAAUCACCUAUUAACAGAAUGCAUCACGCAGUUGGUUUGGAAAUUCACUCUAACUGCUUUUUAAUCACCUCAUUCUUUUCUUCCGAUUUCCUCCGUGGAAAAAAAAAAAAGGAAAAGAGGAAAAAAAAAUGCUAUACCCCCCCAACCCGCCCAGACCUACUUUUUAAAAGUGUUGUGCUAUUUCCUGUGGUCUUGAAGAGCACGUUGAACACAAAAAUGCGAACCUGAAGUAUCUCUGUGCUCUCUUGUUGACGUCAAAGGCAGCAGGUAGGCAGAGAAACUCCAUGCCGACUCCCAGGAAACCCUCAGCCUUGCAGGGAGCUGCUGGGUCAGCUGGGUAGUAAGUCUGCCAGGAAUUCCUCCUUUUCCAUGCUACUGUGUGGUCUCUAAAGUCCCUGCCAGGACUGUAAACAUAUUCUUGCCAGACAUGCAGACAGAAAUGCUUUUUUCCCCUCUCAGCAUCCCUGUGUGCUGAACAGGGCCAGUGGUUUAUGUGCCUCUCUGGGGCAAGUAAGGCUGAGCCAUGUGUGAUGUACUCAGGCUCUUACCUGGAAUAUGCUGUGGAAGAGAUACUUGCUGGAUAUAUAUGCACAUUUCAGUGCUUGAAAUGUAAAUAAUACUGGGUACCUGUGGUGGGCUGACCCCAACCAGCUCCCUAGUGGCCACCCAGCCACUCUCACUCCCCCUCCUCAACAGCACAGAGGGGAGAAAAUAAGUUGGAAAGGCUCACGGUUGAACAAAUACAGGUAGAUGAAUUAUCAAUUAUCCUCACCACCAAAACAGACUCAGUUUGAGGAAACUAAUUUAUUGCCAGCUGAAGGAGGUUUGGAUGGUGAGAAACAAAGACAAAGCAACACCUUCCACACAUCUCCACCCUUGUUUUUUCCCUUUGUGCCUUCAUUUCCAGCUCCUCUAGCUGUGCAGGGACAGUGACUGAGGCAUUAGAAACAGCUGUGUGUUAGAGAUGUGUGGGAAGUGGAGGUAAUUAAUAAUUAAUAAGUACUAUCUGUGUCUGUAGGCAGGUAUUUUUACCCCUUAAAUGGAGCAAGCCCACACGUAAUACAACCUCCAGCCAGCCAGGGAGCAGGGAAAGCUGCCAGCACUUUAGGCAGCGCCCUUGAAAUGUGUUGUGUUUACAUUUGUAAGGAAAUCGAAUGUAAUCGUAUUGUAGUUGAUGUAAUGCUUUUAUUUCCAAUGUUAGCUAGUUCCCUAAUAUCAAGCUUAAAACCUGAAGGGCUGGAGGACUCCUGUGGGGAACAUCUGUUUGUUUUGUGGGUCUGGCUGGAGCUACCUGAGCUGCUGGGGAUACACUGACCCAAGUCCUUACGUGUGUGUUGGGGAAAGGAUGGUGGUCUGAAGUCUGUUAAAAAUUAAAUUGAUCAGCUAGUGGCUGGAAAGGAAAGCCUGAAUAGAAACUAAGAAAUGCCUCUUUUUAGUGAGAGACAGCUCAGAGCAAGGAGGGAGAAUAAAAGAGAGGUAAAACAGGUUUCUCUGCAGUGCUUGGUCCUCGCAGCCUGACCUUGCCUCCAGCUACCAACACACUCUUGCUGCUACAGAGAAGUCUCUGUCACCCCAAAGACUUGCCCUUCUGCCACAGGCUCACACCAUGAUCCCCCUAGGACUCAUUCCCUGCCCUCCCCAUGAAGUCUGGCAGUGUCUGCAAGAUUUCUGGACCUGGCAGACAAGUGACUUGGUGAGCAGCCAGGAAAUGUGUUUGGGGGAAGGUUAGGACACAGAGGUGCCACAGUAAGUGCUGGGGAGUGGGAAAUGCCCUGAAUGCCUUACUUGAGACUGGAGCUGGGUAAAGAUGAGUAUGAGGGCUGACUGAAGGGUGGAGCUAUAUUAGAGCACUUCAAACUCUAUUUGGAUGAGCAAAGAGUGCAUCCUUUCACUUCAUAAGGACAUUAAAUUCACAGAUAUGGUGUC
Long non-coding RNA from Pseudopipra pipra, 3115 nucleotides. RefSeq lists it as uncharacterized. Lineage: Eukaryota; Metazoa; Chordata; Aves; Passeriformes; Pipridae. The record is from RefSeq and is a predicted model, not a curated record. The transcript is spliced from 2 exons.